UUCUGCAACCAGACCACCUGGUACUGUCAUUCUGUCUGACUCCAGAGGCCAAGCAAGGUUGGGCUGAGUCAAUACUUGGAGGGGAGAGAUCUCUACCGAAAACCCCAGGUGCUGCAGGAA
Molecule: ribosomal RNA, 120 nt
Organism: Chrysemys picta bellii (western painted turtle)
Lineage: Eukaryota; Metazoa; Chordata; Testudines; Emydidae
Source: Ensembl